UGCCAGCCGCCGCGGUAAUACGGAGGGGGUUAGCGUUGUUCGGAAUUACUGGGCGUAAAGCGUACGUAGGCGGAUUAAUAAGUUAGAGGUGAAAUCCCAGGGCUCAACCCUGGAACUGCCUUUAAACUUUUCAGCUAGAGUAUGAUAGAGGAAAGCAGAAUUUCUAGUGUAGAGGUGAAAUUCGUAGAUAUUAGGAAGAACAUCAGUGGCGAAGGCGACUCACUGGUCCGAUACUGACGCUGAGGUGCGAAAGCGUGGGGAGCAAACAGGAUUAGAUA
Molecule: ribosomal RNA, 278 nt
Filed under: uncultured bacterium
Lineage: Bacteria
Description: partial 16S ribosomal RNA
Rfam family: Bacterial small subunit ribosomal RNA
Source: RNAcentral